Molecule: ribosomal RNA, 766 nt
Filed under: Staphylococcus aureus
Lineage: Bacteria; Bacillati; Bacillota; Bacilli; Caryophanales; Staphylococcaceae
Description: bacterial SSU rRNA
Rfam family: Bacterial small subunit ribosomal RNA
Source: RNAcentral
GAUGAACGCUGGCGGCGUGCCUAAUACAUGCAAGUCGAGCGAACGGACGAGAAGCUUGCUUCUCUGAUGUUAGCGGCGGACGGGUGAGUAACACGUGGAUAACCUACCUAUAAGACUGGGAUAACUUCGGGAAACCGUAGCUAAUACCGGAUAAUAUUUUGAACCGCAUGGUUCAAAAGUGAAAGACGGUCUUGCUGUCACUUAUAGAUGGAUCCGCGCUGCAUUAGCUAGUUGGUAAGGUAACGGCUAACCAAGGCAACGAUGCAUAGCCGACCUGAGAGGGUGAUCGGCCACACUGGAACUGAGACACGGUCCAGACUCCUACGGGAGGCAGCAGUAGGGAAUCUUCCGCAAUGGGCGAAAGCCUGACGGAGCAACGCCGCGUGAGUGAUGAAGGUCUUCGGAUCGUAAAACUCUGUUAUUAGGGAAGAACAUAUGUGUAAGUAACUGUGCACAUCUUGACGGUACCUAAUCAGAAAGCCACGGCUAACUACGUGCCAGCAGCCGCGGUAAUACGUAGGUGGCAAGCGUUAUCCGGAAUUAUUGGGCGUAAAGCGCGCGUAGGCGGUUUUUUAAGUCUGAUGUGAAAGCCCACGGCUCAACCGUGGAGGGUCAUUGGAAACUGGAAAACUUGAGUGCAGAAGAGGAAAGUGGAAUUCCAUGUGUAGCGGUGAAAUGCGCAGAGAUAUGGAGGAACACCAGUGGCGAAGGCGACUUUCUGGUCUGUAACUGACGCUGAUGUGCGAAAGCGUGGGGAUCAAACAGG